UUCUAACGUGGAUCCGUAAUCCGGGUUGCGGACAGUGUCUGGUGGGUAGUUUGACUGGGGCGGUCUCCUCCUAAAGAGUAACGGAGGAGCACGAAGGUUGGCUAAUCCUGGUCGGACAUCAGGAGGUUAGUGCAAUGGCAUAAGCCAGCUUGACUGCGAGCGUGACGGCGCGAGCAGGUGCGAAAGCAGGUCAUAGUGAUCCGGUGGUUCUGAAUGGAAGGGCCAUCGCUCAACGGAUAAAAGGUACUCCGGGGAUAACAGGCUGAUACCGCCCAAGAGUUCAUAUCGACGGCGGUGUUUGGCACCUCGAUGUCGGCUCAUCACAUCCUGGGGCUGAAGUAGGUCCCAAGGGUAUGGCUGUUCGCCAUUUAAAGUGGUACGCGAGCUGGGUUUAGAACGUCGUGAGACAGUUCGGUCCCUAUCUGCCGUGGGCGCUGGAGAACUGAGGGGGGCUGCUCCUAGUACGAGAGGACCGGAGUGGACGCAUCACUGGUGUUCGGGUUGUCAUGCCAAUGGCACUGCCCGGUAGCUAAAUGCGGAAGAGAUAAGUGCUGAAAGCAUCUAAGCACGAAACUUGCCCCGA
This 583-nucleotide ribosomal RNA is filed under the name Salmonella enterica subsp. enterica serovar Infantis. RNAcentral's name for it is "partial 23S ribosomal RNA". It matches the Rfam family "Bacterial large subunit ribosomal RNA", at positions 2220 to 2802 of the family's 2925-position model. RNAcentral also lists the same sequence under 2 other names. Lineage: Bacteria; Pseudomonadati; Pseudomonadota; Gammaproteobacteria; Enterobacterales; Enterobacteriaceae. The record is from RNAcentral.